This 2187-nucleotide long non-coding RNA is filed under the name Podarcis lilfordi (Lilford's wall lizard). The record is from RNAcentral. Lineage: Eukaryota; Metazoa; Chordata; Lepidosauria; Squamata; Lacertidae.
GCAAGAACUUUAAUAAGGAAUGGGGGAAAGCUACUUUGGAGAACAACUAAAAACAUUGGCAGGACUGUUAUAACGCUCAUAUUGUAGCAAGAAUUAUGGUAAGAAUAGUGUUUUAAGAAAAAAAUGGAAGACUUUAUAAGAUGUAUAAAGAGCAAUUAGGUUCUUUUAGAUCUGUUUAGGUGUUUAACAUAGAUGAAACGUAGGCUACUCUAGGAGAGCACAACACAACAGACAACCAAUAUUGGAUUUCCUCUAUAGUACUACUUUAUUGAUUACCAUGGAAUACAUUUAACAAGACAGAGGGACAUGCACUCAGUCACUCUCUCUCUCUCUCUCUCUCUCUCUCACACACACACACACUCAAAACUGGAGAGUCUCGCCUUGUAUACUUUCCUUGUUGUUCAUCUGAAUCUUCGCAUUCUUUCGUCCUUGGCAUGGUAUUUUACAACUCUUAUUAUUUGAAACUGAUGUUGUGUAGCUUUUGGCAUAUCACAACUCUUACUGUUCAAAACUGAUGUUGUAUAGCCGGUCUUCAUGCCUCCUUGCAUGUACCGUUCCCAACAUACUGCUUUGGCCAGAACAUGCACAUUCCAUUAGCUCUUUGAUCAACGCAGUUCACUGAUCAACUGCAUCCAUUUUGUGGUGUUCUUCAGCCAUCUUAGGCCCAUACAAACCAUGCCAUUCAUUACAUAUUCCCUCUCUUGAUGUGUAAAUUUAUUUAUACUUCACUUUAAAAUCAAUAUGCAAAUAUUCUAAGACAGAAUUCAAUCGUGUCUGCAGAUUCUUUAAGCAUUUAAGGAAAAUGCAUAUCCAAUUACACUGAAUAAUAUCAACAGAAUAAUCACAAUAGGGUGUUUCAAUAGAUGUAAGAAAGCAGACGUCUUUGGAGAAUAGCCUUUAAAUAUAUCUCACAAAUGAUAUUCAGUAAAGCUAGAUUCUUCAUCAGCAAUUUGUUGAAAUUUUCCAUUUUCAUAUUGUAUUUUUAGAAAUGCCAUUUUUGUAUUCUAAGCAUGUUGUUCCAAGUGUUUUCGUAUUUGAUCAUUAUGCAAAAACAAUGUCAUUAACUUCUGAUAGUCUGGUCCUAUAGAAACUGUGUAGGUUUAAUGGCAAAUACACAGAAUCCUUAAUCGUUUCCGACACAAUAUUUCCAGUUCUCAAAUUUUGCACAUAGGUUAUGUAGAUUUCCCAACAUCACUACAGGUUACAUUUGCAUCCCUGAUGUUUAUCAAUUCCAGUGAGAGUUCCAUCUGACCACAAUUCAGGGUCCACAGUAGUAACAUGUAAGCAUCCAAUCCCAGUAUCUUAAAUAAAAGUAUCAUUACUCAUCUUUUGUAAUUGACAGAUUCCAUCACUAACAUCAAACACACAAGGUUCACUUUGUCCAAAAUGUGGUGAGCAAACAUAUCCUUUCCCCCAUUUUUCACACCUAGAGAUUUCAAUCAUAACAUUAUCCUUAUGAUUCAAAACAUUAGAACAUAACAACUUAUGAGAAAGAAAAUAAGGAACCCAAAAUAUAUCAUUAACAAUAAUAGGUAAAAGUGUAACAUCACACAUCAUAGAUAUUGUGGUAUUAUGUAUUCCACUGUGUUCAAGUGAUGAUAAUUCUACUUUCCAUACAUCAUUAAUAAUCAGAUAAUCAGUUAAUCUAAACCACUCAGAAUAAUCCUUAUGCAGUAUACUUUCAAGAUUUCCUUUAAAAAAUAUAUAUAUUAGAAAUUUCAACACAAUAGUUUCAACAAAAAUACAUCCUCCACAUUGUCCCCCCCCAUUCCCCCUCUAAACAGAACACCCCCCCUCCCACCCCACUCCCAGACUUCCCUCAGCUCCUUUCGCUGGUUUCUCAACACAUAUUUUUAUCUGCAUGUUAUAAAAUUGUAAAAAUCCUCAAAUUAUCUAUCUAGUUUGUGAAUAUUUAUUCAAAACCUGCCAAAGAGUCCAGUUCAUUUUGUUGUUUCUUCAAAUAUUUCAUAAAAGGUUCCCAUUCGUCUUUGAAAUCACAAUUAUCCCCACGCUGGAGGAAUGGCAGAUGAAACUGAUGGACUAUAUGGAACUGGCGGAAAUGACUGGCAGAAUCCGUGACCAGGGAGAAGAGUUGGUGGAGGAAGAUUGGAAGAAAUUCAAAGAUUAUCUUCAGAAACAUUGCAAAAUUAAAGAAUGUUAGAGUGAUGUUGUAUCAAAAAUAAGUGG